Molecule: long non-coding RNA, 1823 nt
Filed under: Homo sapiens (human)
Lineage: Eukaryota; Metazoa; Chordata; Mammalia; Primates; Hominidae
Description: HSALNT0311645
Source: RNAcentral
GGACGAUUCCAAGGAUCACUGUUGUUGCUAAUUUUUUUUCUUUUAAAAAAUACAGAUAUUUUUAAUAAAAGUAUGUUAAUUAUGUUAACCUGUAAUGGGCUUAUUAUUUCAAAAUCAAUUAACAAUGUAAAUAUUUAAAACUUCUGUGUUAAAAUUUCUAAUAGUAUAAAUAGCAGUAGAUUUAGCCCACUCUAAGGGAGAUGGUUGUGCUUUAGUCAGGAGUAGGCCGAGGCAGCCUUCUGGUGCAGCAUGACUCAGUGGGUUUGGAGGCAGGCACACAACUCCACACAUUAUGUAACCAUGCCAUGUGAGGUGCAUUAGGUGACCACUCAUAUGAGCACGUGCUUGGCUCAAAGCCACUAUUGUCUGUAAAAGGUAAAAUUACCCUGCUGACACUACAUAUGGCUUGCACCCAGAGAGAGAAUAAAGCCAUGUCGAAACCGCCUACUCGAGUGUUUUUCCAGUUACCUGCCACCCACCCACCAACUCCCCUUGGACUUUAGUUUGGGCUAGAACCUGACAAUUGGCAUCACGAACAGGAUCCUAAGGUAAGUGAGCCUUCGGUCCCUGCUGAUUCCAGGUUGGCCAUGUGACCACAACAUGGGUUGUGGUACCCGGUGGUAGCCGUGCUGUGAGGGUGGGCCUGAGUGGAAACCUGGGUGGCAGUAGAUGGGUCCCCCAUGAGCAUGGAGAAGGCGCUGAAGCAGCUGGAAGUGCAGAGCACCAAGAAGGAGAGAGCCUUUGCUGGCAGAGUUGGAUGGGCAUUUUUAACUGUGCUAAGAAAAGUACACACCCAGUCCCUGAGGGAUGCAGACUGGAGGUCUGGCUACACCGAUCUGGAAAAUAAUUAGAGGCUGCCAUGAAUGGGGACCUCCAGGUGCAGGCAGGAUGCCUGGAGGUGUGGCUUCAGAGCUUGGAAAAGGAAUUAGAGGCUACCAUGAAUGCAGGCCUGGGUCCAUCAUCUUGUCUGGAGAUCCCCACUCAGUUUCAUACCAAGGAGGAAGAACCCCUGUUGCGGGCUCACCCGGUGGUCUGACAGAAGGUAGAUCAUGAACAGCCACUGGGGCUCCAAGGGUGGACUCAGGGACUCCCCACCAUAAUGCAACACAUUUCGUAUAUUGCCUGUACCCCAACUGAGUUGCAGGAAUUAGGCAAGCAGUGUUGCCAGUGUCCAGGGGAACCCCUGCCUGCCUGGAUGCUUCGUCUGUGGAACAAGGGAGCAGAUGGUAUCUCCCAUUCCACCUCUGAGAUGGACAAGCUGGCCUCCACCAUGACUCACCCCUCUCUCUGUCAGCGGCUGCAAGUGAGCAGGUGGUUAGUGGCAGCGCAAGGAGACCACACCCUGACUGAGUGGCUACAGGCAGCCAUAUGAACUGUGUGGAAUAAUGCUGGUGAAAUGCCCAAAACUAUUUAGAAGCAGUGGCACCCCUCUUGUGGCAACAUUUGGCAGCAUGCAGUUGGGCCAUCAACAAAUCCAAGGUCCGAGGGCCUGGAUUACCUGCUAAAUUCUUGGGAGUUAUCUGGUCGGGGCUGAAGUUCCAGGCUGGACCUGAUGCUCCAAACCUUGAAUGAAUGGCCAUGGAAAAGCAGCCCAGCCCAGGUGGAGGCUUUGUUACAUGGGCCACCACCCCUAUUCAGUUGCAGAUACACACCAAGGGUAACCGCCUCUGACCAGGGACACCAUGAUCAACCAGCCAAUGCCAAAGACCUCUGGGGGUCAGACUAUUCUGAGGACUGCUUUGGCUCCACCGUCCACAGUGGCAACCACACCCACUUGGUCUUUUAUGCGGGACAUGGAUGAAGCUGGAAACCAUCAUUCUCAG